This 1128-nucleotide small RNA is filed under the name Oryza sativa Japonica Group (Japanese rice). RNAcentral's name for it is "sRNA Os10g0550033". The record is from RNAcentral. Lineage: Eukaryota; Viridiplantae; Streptophyta; Magnoliopsida; Poales; Poaceae.
GAACUUCAAAUCCACAAAUCAAAAACCGCCUCAUCUAUCAAUUCAUCUAACACAAACUCCCAUAUCUCCACGACAAUUCCUUCUGUCUUUGAUCUAAUGUCCAUCCAUGCCUGAACCUCCAAAUCCCUUUUAAUUAUCUGUUCCAAUGUACUUGGGAAACUACACUUGAGAUAACCAUCAACAUAUUUGUCAACUUCUGAGAUGAGUUUUUCUCCUACCGGAGGUGUCCGUAUGUCAUGUUUGACAAAAGAUAACCAAGAAGAGAGUCUAAAAUAUCUCUCUUGGAUCUCUGUUAGUGCUUCACAGAUGCAAUCAAACAAAAUCUUCAUAUCAUCUAUUCGGUCCCCUUGAUUCUGUAGUUCUUCGAACAUGCAAGGGCUGAUUAAUUCAUCCUCUAGAUACCACACCUCUAAAUUUUGCUCUGCACAUAAUUCUGAGAGCUCUAGCACCAGCAUUAUAUAAUCUAACCUGGCAUUCUUAUCCUCCCAAAAGACCUUUACACCUGAUUCAUUAUCUGGGAAGUACAGGGUCCCACAGGAAACUUCGUGCAGCUCAUCUGUAUGUCAUAAAAUGGUGAGUAAUACAGAUACUAGAGUACAUAAUAUUUUUUAUCUGUGCAGGGAAAGAAGAUAAACUAAUUUAAACCAUUGUUCUUGCAAACAAUUGUAUUAAUUGGACUUACAUUUUUUCAUUGUUUUGCAUUCAGGAGAGCUGUCAUCUUCAUCGAAUGAAUCAAGAACCGAUACAGGACUUGGCUGUUCUUUCUUCUCAUUGCUUUGCUCAGGACAACCAUCUGGUAAUUUUGGUGAUGAUUUUGGUUCAGGUGUUUUUGGAUCUUGUUGCUCCAAAUUUUCAACCAUGCUCUCAGGAGAGCUCAUGAACAUUUGAACAGGUUCUUUUCCUUCAGUUCCUUCUAAUAUUUCCUAUAAAUAGAAGUAUGAACAUGUACAUCUUAAAAUACACUAACAAAAGAUGGAAUAAGGCUAGGCAUUCAUUUGAGCUUACUGGCAAGGGGCUGUCUGUGUAUUGUUCUGCUGGGAUGCACUGUAUGUUGCAAAUUGUUUUGGAACAAUCCAAUUUGCCAACUCCUUCAACAGGCACGGUGUCUACCUCAUCAGUAGCAUAUAU